This 494-nucleotide long non-coding RNA is filed under the name Homo sapiens (human). RNAcentral's name for it is "HSALNT0403778". The record is from RNAcentral. Lineage: Eukaryota; Metazoa; Chordata; Mammalia; Primates; Hominidae.
AGUAGCACAAUGGUGUGUUACUUGCUGACAGCGCAAUGUGAGGCAAGGCCCCACGGUUCCACCCAGCAUACAAGCUUAUGGAGCGGCUCCUUUUGAGGGUCUUCAGGUGGAUUUCACAGAAAUGCCAAAAUGUGAAGAUCUUAUUCCUAGGUUUGGACUGCCCUUACGAAUUGGCUCACAUAACGGGCCGGUGUUUGUGGCUGACUUGGUACAGAAGACAGCAAAGGCAUUAGGAAUCACUUGGAAACUACAUGCCGCCUACUGACCUCAGAGUUCUGGAAAGGUGGAGCGAAUGAAUCAGACUAUCAAAAAUAGUUUAGGGAAAGUAUGUCAGGAAACAGGAUUAAAAUGGAUACAGGCCCUUCCUAUGGUAUUGUUUAAAAUUAGAUGCAUCCCUUCUAACAGGAUACUCCCCUUAUGAAAUACUGUAUCAUAGGCCUCCUCCUAUACUAGGGGGACUUCCAGGCACUCCCCGAGAGUUAGGUGAAAUUGAG